UUUAUAAUGCCUCUGGACAUCGAAUUUAAUGCUUUUUAAUGUCAUUAAGGUCUUAAUUUUCACUAAAUCUAUUUAAUGACUUUUGAUGCUUUUUAAUAAACUGCAGAAACCCUGUGGUUUAACUCCAACAAGCAGGUCC
Molecule: long non-coding RNA, 139 nt
Organism: Sphaeramia orbicularis (orbiculate cardinalfish)
Lineage: Eukaryota; Metazoa; Chordata; Actinopteri; Kurtiformes; Apogonidae
Exons: 4
Source: RefSeq, a predicted model, not a curated record